This 242-nucleotide long non-coding RNA is filed under the name Elaeis guineensis (African oil palm). RNAcentral's name for it is "long non-coding RNA (EGUI_LNC000051)". Lineage: Eukaryota; Viridiplantae; Streptophyta; Magnoliopsida; Arecales; Arecaceae. The record is from RNAcentral.
UCUUCUUCUUCUUGGUAGCCAUUUUCUUUACUACUUUCUUGGCCUCCUCGACCGUCUUUUUGACCUCUUUCUCGACCUUAAGAUCCUCAUCCAUGGUCUUUUUAUUCUCGUAGACCAUACCAUGUACUCGUGCAGCAGCUUGAAGUACAUGACAGGUUUCAAAAAUAACAGAAAAGAAAAAUGAUUAGAUUCUCAAAUAUCGAUGUGAAAAGAAAAGAAGAACAGAAAAGAACAAUAUGGUU